AGAGUGUGAAGAAUCGUCCAAGUGGCUCUUCCAAGUUCCUCUUUAGUCAUUGGUGUAGAAGUUCUCUGAAAAAAGCAAUAACAGUUUACUCAAGCAUGUUAAAAGUUUUCAAAAGUAUUUGCAAUUUAACAUAAGGUGAGAUCAAGAAUUGUACCACAUUUUGUUUCUAAAAGAACGUCAUUAUGUCAUCAACACAACAAAAUGACAACCAAAUAUACCCUCUAUACUGUCGUUAGGCCCACCACCUUCAAAUUUAUUUUAUUCAAAAGCAUAACGAUUAAUGAAGAAUUAAAAUGGCUUGUAAUAAACACUACGAAUGCCCUUCUUUUCUUUUAUUCUUGUUCCUGUUCUAUGUCUAUUACUACACUAUUUUAUAUAUAACAAGAGCAAAAAAACACACAAUGAAAUCUCAUUCAAUGCAAGCAUCAUUUCAAAAAAAAAAAAUCAUGUAAAUUCAAGGACAAUUCUCCAGUCUAGACUUUUCUUAAACAGUUACAUAGCAGGCCAGUGUGUAAAACACCAAAACAAAAAUAAUCCAUGAGUUAAAAUCAAUUAUAAUGCGAAUCGAGUGAUUGUAUAUAAUUAUAAAACAAUUCCAAAAAAAUCAAGUAUCAAUCUUGGUGCAUAGUUUAACCAAACUAAUAAACAAAAAAAAUUUAAAGUCAUUGGAGUUAAUCUUGGCUUGCUUCAACAUCAACAGAAAGUGGAAACCAAAUAAAGAAGCAUGAAUGGAUGUGAACAAGAAUACUUAGUUAGGCCAAGAUGAUGUUUACAUUGUUGUCUUGAAGUGGUUUUUCUUUAUAUGUCACUUGAAAAAUAGUUUGUUUUCAUGCAAUGAUGCAAAGACUUUAUGUGAACAGUGAGUCUAUGCAUAAAGAAAACUAUUGUGUGAGUAUAUUCAAACAAAUUCUCCUCAAAACUAAACCUGAUUGAUUCAGAAACUUUUUAACUGAAUAUGAACUGAACCAUAGAACUGAUUUAUUUUAGUUCGGUUUAGUUCAGUGUAUAUAAUUUAGCUUAAAAAAGUUAAUUUUUUUUGUUAGCCAAUUACAAAGACUUUUUACCUAAAUUUGAUCAUUUUUUAGUCUAGUUCAAUUGUAAUCACUUCUCAUUUCAUGUUUUUGGUAUCUUGUUCAAUGUUGGAUCAAGUUGCAAAAAUAGAAUCAUGCUAUUCAUACAAACCAUUGACAUCACAUACACACCAAAAUAAAACUAUAGAAGCAAAAGGAUUCUACAACAAAACCAAAAAUAAGGCAUGCAAGACAACAGAUGCUACAACUAAUAUAAACCGCCUACAUGACUUAGAGGGAUAUGCUUCCACUUGGCAAAUCCAGGACAUUGCGAAAGCUGUAUACAACUCUCUCAGGGAUGACUCUUCCUAUAAUGCACAAAUUAUGGCAAUGACUGUAAGCAGAAGUAAAUGCGUAAAAGACAAUAGUUGUUAGUUCAGGACUUUUAGUAACUCAAAUACAAUAGACGAAAAUAUUAUUUUAUUACUUAUUGGUGUGACAAGAGAAAUCUAAGACAAUUAGUAAUAUGCAUUGAGAACUAGUUUGAUGAAUAUUGAUAUUGAUAUCUUGUCUCCAAGAUCCCAUCAAUCUUUUUUUUUUUCAAAAUUUAAUUAGAUAUUUUGCCACUCAACUUCUCCCACCAACCAUUUUACAAUGGUUGGCCAUUCUAAAUGGGGUCUCUAGUAAAUUAGACUACUUAAAUAACUUAUUUUGAUUAAGAGUUUUGAUAGAUGAAAUGUGAUAACUGUAUCUUAAUUGCUUUAUUUUUUGUCUUUAACUCUUUGCUUCCAGGGCUUAAAUACUUACCACAAAUCAUAAACUUCACAAUCACAGCAACAUCAUAUGCCUAAUUCUAAUAAUCUAGUAGCUAAAUUACAAAGGAAAAAAAAAAAAACUUGAUUUGCACCCUUGUCUCGUCCUCAAUCACAGAAAAAAAUUUAAACUUUUCUGAAUAACACAGAAUAAGUAAUUUUGUUGAAAAAAAUUAUGUUCAAAUAAAUAGCAGAAUUAUUGGAAUUUGAAGCUUGCCAUGAUAGAUGCACAAGAGGACAAAAUUAAACCAGAUCGCGUGGUGGUGUCACGUGGUGGGGCAGUGCUGGUGUCACGGGUUGUGUCAAGCAGCGAAGGCAGACGUGUACUGGUGUUGCACGGUGAAGGCAGAUCAUGUCGUUGUGAGGUUGGUGUCACACGACGAAGGUAGAUCGCAUCGUGGUGGAGCUGCUGUUGUGCGUUAAUGGUGUAGCUGGUCGCACUGAGAUAGAGCCUAUCAUGGUGGAGCUGGUCGCGCCAAGGUGGAGCACGUUAUGGUGGAGCCGCUGUUGUGCAGUCGUGGUGGAACUGAUCGUGUCGUGGAGUGCGUUGAGGUCAAGUUGCUUUUGCAUGAUCGUGACGGGGCUGCUGUCACGUGGCAGUGGCAGUGUGGAAUUAAUGUCGUUUGUUGACGCAGACUAGUGGCUGCGUGGAUUAGCGCUGUGGAGAAUCUGGAGAUGGCAAUGAGAAUGAGAGAAAGAAAUCGAAUUUAUUUUUUUUUCUCUCAAAACAGAAUUAAACCUGACUCUUACACGGAUUUGACCGCAUCAUAAAUACUUUUGACUAUAUUGUAAUACGAGUAGUUACCAAACAUUACC
This 2638-nucleotide long non-coding RNA is filed under the name Citrus sinensis (sweet orange). Its description in RNAcentral is "long non-coding RNA (CSIN_LNC004407)". Lineage: Eukaryota; Viridiplantae; Streptophyta; Magnoliopsida; Sapindales; Rutaceae. The record is from RNAcentral.